AGAUUUGCAUGAGUAGCUUCUAAUAUACCUUUUCUAUUCAUAAUUGGACCUCAAAUCAGGUAGGACUACCCGCUGAACUUAAGCAUAUCAAUAAGCGGAGGAAAAGAAACUAACAAGGAUUCCCCUAGUAACGGCGAGUGAAGCGGGAAGAGCUCAAAUUUGUAAUCUGGCACUUUCAGUGUCCGAGUUGUAAUCUCGAGAAAUGUUUUCCGCGCUAGACCACAUAUAAGUCUGUUGGAAUACAGCGUCAUAGUGGUGAGAACCCAGUAUAUGAUGUGGAUGCCUAGUGCUUUGUGAUACAUUUUCAAAGAGUCGAGUUGUUUGGGAAUGCAGCUCAAAAUGGGUGGUAAAUUCCAUCUAAAGCUAAAUAUUGGCGAGAGACCGAUAGCGAACAAGUACCGUGAGGGAAAGAUGAAAAGCACUUUGGAAAGAGAGUUAACAGUACGUGAAAUUGUUGAAAGGGAAACGCUUGAAGUCAGACUUGCUUUUGAGUUUACUUGAUGSCAGGCUAGCAUCAGUUUCUGGGAGUAGAAAAGGGUAUUGAGAAGGUAGCAACUUAGGUUGUGUUAUAGCUCUUUACUGGAUGUGCUCUUGGGGACUGAGGAACGCAACACGCUUUGUGCAAUGUCUUCGGGCAUUUCGUGUUAAGGAUGCUAGUUAAUGGCUUUAAACGACCCGUCUUGAAACA
Molecule: ribosomal RNA, 688 nt
Filed under: Pycnobasidium sp. CBS 176.95
Lineage: Eukaryota; Fungi; Basidiomycota
Description: eukaryotic LSU rRNA
Rfam family: Eukaryotic large subunit ribosomal RNA
Source: RNAcentral